AGAGUUUGAUCCUGGCUCAGGACGAACGCUGGCGGCGUGCCUAAUACAUGCAAGUCGAGCGGACAGAUGGGAGCUUGCUCCCUGAUGUUAGCGGCGGACGGGUGAGUAACACGUGGGUAACCUGCCUGUAAGACUGGGAUAACUCCGGGAAACCGGGGCUAAUACCGGAUGGUUGUUUGAACCGCAUGGUUCAAACAUAAAAGGUGGCUUCGACUACCACUUACAGAUGGACCCGCGGCGCAUUAGCUAGUUGGUGAGGUAAUGGCUCACCAAGGCAACGAUGCGUAGCCGACCUGAGAGGGUGAUCGGCCACACUGGGACUGAGACACGGCCCAGACUCCUACGGGAGGCAGCAGUAGGGAAUCUUUCGCAAUGGACGAAAGUCUGACGGAGCAACGCCGCGUGAGUGAUGAAGGUUUUCGGAUCGUAAAGCUCUGUUGUUAGGGAAGAACAAGUACCGUUCGAAUAGGGCGGUACCUUGACGGUACCUAACCAGAAAGCCACGGCUAACUACGUGCCAGCAGCCGCGGUAAUACGUAGGUGGCAAGCGUUGUCCGGAAUUAUUGGGCGUAAAGGGCUCGCAGGCGGUUUCUUAAGUCUGAUGUGAAAGCCCCCGGCUCAACCGGGGAGGGUCAUUGGAAACUGGGGAACUUGAGUGCAGAAGAGGAGAGUGGAAUCCCACGUGUAGCGGUGAAAUGCGUAGAGAUGUGGAGGAACACCAGUGGCGAAGGCGACUCUCUGGUCUGUAACUGACGCUGAGGAGCGAAAGCGUGGGGAGCGAACAGGAUUAGAUACCCUGGUAGUCCACGCCGUAAACGAUGAGUGCUAAGUGUUAGGGGGUUUCCGCCCCUUAGUGCUGCAGCUAACGCAUUAAGCACUCCGCCUGGGGAGUACGGUCGCAAGACUGAAACUCAAAUGAAUUUGACGG
This 928-nucleotide ribosomal RNA is filed under the name uncultured bacterium. RNAcentral's name for it is "bacterial SSU rRNA". It matches the Rfam family "Bacterial small subunit ribosomal RNA", at positions 8 to 916 of the family's 1533-position model. The record is from RNAcentral.